Musa acuminata AAA Group (dessert banana) is the source of this 403-nucleotide long non-coding RNA. RefSeq lists it as uncharacterized. The transcript has 2 exons. Lineage: Eukaryota; Viridiplantae; Streptophyta; Magnoliopsida; Zingiberales; Musaceae. The record is from RefSeq and is a predicted model, not a curated record.
CGUUGGUGUGUCCGUUUCGUGUCGUCGGUCGCUCUUCGUUGGAGUUCUCCUCGCAUCGUCCCGUUCCAACCCCCGCUUCUCUUAUUAGAGUCUCCGGCCGCGAUUCGAGGCAAGGAUUUGAUUCUUCUCCUCGCUCCUCUAUCGCAUCCGCUUGAUUGCUUUAGAUGGAUAGAUGAAUGCGAAAGAGUUAAUAAUCUGAAGACCAUUCUACUUCAUGUCUUUCCAGUGGUCGAUUCAAAUGUUUCCAAGUCAAAAUAUUUCUACAUGACUAUGAUCUAAAGCUUUUUGAAGAAAUUUCAGUGAAAGGUGCAAUUAAGAUCUGUUAAGACUAAGAAUGAUAUGUUAUAUUACUCGGAUGAAUGAUUGAAUUUUACUAAAUAUUAUCCAAUGUUAAAUAGGGUUA